Molecule: ribosomal RNA, 370 nt
Filed under: uncultured bacterium
Lineage: Bacteria
Description: partial 16S ribosomal RNA
Rfam family: Bacterial small subunit ribosomal RNA
Source: RNAcentral
AUACGUAGGGUGCAAGCGUUAAUCGGAAUUACUGGGCGUAAAGCGUGCGCAGGCGGUUUUGUAAGACAGAGGUGAAAUCCCCGGGCUCAACCUGGGAACUGCCUUUGUGACUGCAAGGCUAGAGUACGGCAGAGGGGGAUGGAAUUCCGCGUGUAGCAGUGAAAUGCGUAGAUAUGCGGAGGAACACCGAUGGCGAAGGCAAUCCCCUGGGCCUGUACUGACGCUCAUGCACGAAAGCGUGGGGAGCAAACAGGAUUAGAUACCCUGGUAGUCCACGCCCUAAACGAUGUCAACUGGUUGUUGGGUCUUCAUUGACUCAGUAACGAAGCUAACGCGUGAAGUUGACCGCCUGGGGAGUACGGCCGCAAGG